RNAcentral lists this ribosomal RNA (433 nucleotides) under uncultured bacterium. Its description in RNAcentral is "partial 16S ribosomal RNA". It matches the Rfam family "Bacterial small subunit ribosomal RNA", at positions 29 to 507 of the family's 1533-position model. The record is from RNAcentral.
AACGAACGCUGGCGUCAUGCCUAACACAUGCAAGUCGAACGAGACCUUCGGGUCUAGUGGCGCACGGGUGCGUAACGCGUGGGAACCUGCCCUUAGGUUCGGAAUAACUCCCCGAAAGGGGUGCUAAUACCGGAUAAUAUCUUCGGACCAAAGAUUUAUCGCCUUUGGAUGGGCCCGCGUUGGAUUAGCUAGUUGGUAGGGUAAAAGCCUACCAAGGCGACGAUCCAUAGCUGGUCUGAGAGGAUGAUCAGCCACACUGGGACUGAGACACGGCCCAGACUCCUACGGGAGGCAGCAGUGGGGAAUAUUGGAAAAUGGGCGAAAGCCUGAUCCAGCAAUGCCGCGUGAGUGAUGAAGGCCUUAGGGUUGUAAAGCUCUUUUACCCGGGAUGAUAAUGACAGUACCGGGAGAAUAAGCUCCGGCUAACUCCGUG